GCCCGCCUAGCUCAAUCGGAUAGAGCGUCAGACUCUUAUCUGGGCGGUGGCAUCUGAAGGCUGCGAGUUCGACCCUCGCGGUGGGCU
This is a non-coding RNA of Sphagnurus paluster, 87 nucleotides long. The record is from the annotation of a GenBank genome assembly. NCBI's taxonomy places the organism in Eukaryota, Fungi, Basidiomycota, Agaricomycetes, Agaricales, Lyophyllaceae.